UAAUACGGAGGGUGCAAGCGUUAAUCGGAAUUACUGGGCGUAAAGCGCACGCAGGCGGUUUGUUAAGUCAGAUGUGAAAUCCCCGGGCUCAACCUGGGAACUGCAUUUGAAACUGGCAAGCUAGAGUCUCGUAGAGGGGGGUAGAAUUCCAGGUGUAGCGGUGAAAUGCGUUAGAGAUCUGGAGGAAUACCGGUGGCGAAGGCGGCCCCCUGGACGAAGACUGACGCUCAGGUGCGAAAGCGUGGGGAGCAAACAGGAUUAGAUACCCUGGUAGUCCACGCUGUAAACGAUGUCGAUUUGGAGGUUGUGCCCUUGAGGCGUGGCUUCCGGAGCUAACGCGUUAAAUCGACCGCCUGGGGAGUACGGCCGCAAGGUUA
Molecule: ribosomal RNA, 377 nt
Filed under: uncultured Serratia sp.
Lineage: Bacteria; Pseudomonadati; Pseudomonadota; Gammaproteobacteria; Enterobacterales; Yersiniaceae
Description: bacterial SSU rRNA
Rfam family: Bacterial small subunit ribosomal RNA
Source: RNAcentral